AGAGCGAACGCUGGCGGCAGGCCUAACACAUGCAAGUCGAACGGACUCUUCGGAGUUAGUGGCGGACGGGUGAGUAACACGUGGGAACGUGCCUUUUGGUUCGGAAUAGCUCCUGGAAACGGGUGGUAAUGCCGAAUGUGCCCUUCGGGGGAAAGAUUUAUCGCCAUUAGAGCGGCCCGCGUCUGAUUAGCUAGUUGGUGAGGUAAAGGCUCACCAAGGCGACGAUCAGUAGCUGGUCUGAGAGGAUGACCAGCCACAUUGGGACUGAGACACGGCCCAAACUCCUACGGGAGGCAGCAGUGGGGAAUCUUGCGCAAUGGGCGAAAGCCUGACGCAGCCAUGCCGCGUAGAAUGAUGAAGGUCUUAAGGA
This 370-nucleotide ribosomal RNA is filed under the name uncultured soil bacterium. Its description in RNAcentral is "bacterial SSU rRNA". It matches the Rfam family "Bacterial small subunit ribosomal RNA", at positions 26 to 422 of the family's 1533-position model. The record is from RNAcentral.